RNAcentral lists this transfer RNA (110 nucleotides) under Veillonella sp. Its description in RNAcentral is "tRNA-Ser". It matches the Rfam family "tRNA". Rfam says of the family: Transfer RNA (tRNA) molecules are approximately 80 nucleotides in length. Their secondary structure includes four short double-helical elements and three loops (D, anti-codon, and T loops). Lineage: Bacteria; Bacillati; Bacillota; Negativicutes; Veillonellales; Veillonellaceae. The record is from RNAcentral.
GGAGAGGUGUCCGAGUGGUUUAAGGAGCUGGUCUUGAAAACCAGUGACUCCGCAAGGGGCCGUGGGUACUCCGCAAGGGGCCGUGGGUUCGAAUCCCACCCUCUCCGCCA